Molecule: ribosomal RNA, 254 nt
Filed under: uncultured bacterium
Lineage: Bacteria
Description: partial 16S ribosomal RNA
Rfam family: Bacterial small subunit ribosomal RNA
Source: RNAcentral
UACGGAAGAUCCAAGCGUUAUCCGGAAUUACUGGGCGUAAAGAGUUGCGUAGGCGGCAAGUAAAGCGAACAGUGAAAGGUCCCGGCUCAACCGGGGAUACAUUGUUCGAACUCACCAGCUAGAGCACAGCAGAGGUACCUGGAAUUCCCAGUGUAGGAGUGAAAUCCGUAGAUAUUGGGAGGAACACCGAUGGCGUAGGCAGGGUACUGGGCUGUUGCUGACGCUAAGGCACGAAAGCGUGGGGAGCGAACGGG